Molecule: small nucleolar RNA, 125 nt
Organism: Suncus etruscus (white-toothed pygmy shrew)
Lineage: Eukaryota; Metazoa; Chordata; Mammalia; Eulipotyphla; Soricidae
Product: small nucleolar RNA SNORA40
Exons: 1
Source: RefSeq, a predicted model, not a curated record
UGUAUGUGUAUGUGUGUUUGUCUUGACUCUUGGUCAAAGAUUUGAGACAGGUGCAAAAACUAAAUCCUUUGCCACCCAGAACUCAUUGUUCGAUGUGAGUCCUGAUACAGAGGAGAAGGAACAUG